AGAGCCAGCCUCAUUCCUGCCAAACCCUCGGGGACCUGGGGACAAUGAAACCGAGCUGGAUCCUGCAGGAUGGGCAGAACUUUGGUCCUGCAGUGCAGCCCAGCCAGGCUGUGGGAUAAAAGAUGUGCUUAAGAUCAAAGGAAGAGCACCACCACACAGAGGCAUUAAAGCUCACAGAGCUCAGCAAGAGGAUGGAGUCUCUUAUCCCAGCUGGAGCAUUUCCCCCAGUGAAAACGUGGCCAACCUGGGACAUUUCUCCUCCAGGGCAGCCUGGGACUCACUGCAGCCCUGAGGAGCUGGCCAGGCUGGCUGGAGCUCCACAGCCACUCACUGGGCUCACGCUGGGUCACAAUAGGACACAAAAUGAGCAACGUGCACAGGCUGAGAUGUCCAAGGGGAUGUUCACAAGGCUGUGCACAAAAUAAGUCUGAAAAUUGUGGCUACUUCAAAUGAAAGUACAUGGAGAUAAUGUCUCAGUGUGGAGGUGGUGCCCUGAACGCUGUUCUGGACAGUUCCUGCUCUCUCUCCAUGGAGGAUUUUGGCUGCUGUGCUUAAGAGCAAGUGGAGCUGCUUUGCCACUUCAUUCCAAGUUUUCAUAUGACAAUGAAAAAAUGUUUUGGAUGAUCACAUUCUCUGGUGGGGCCUUUCCCUCAUUUGUGUUGUUAACCAACAUUAAGAUCUGCAUUUUCAUGCCAGCAAAGUCUCCACAGGUAAAACUUUGAUGUACAACAUAUGGAAUACAUAUUUUAAUAAUUCAGUGUAAUUGUGAUGGAAAAGAAACCAUUGGUGCUGGUAUUUGAGCCUUAAUGAAUAUUGUGAUGCCUUUAAUCACCUUGAUCUCAUUGGCAUUUCAGCAGAGCUGGGUUUAGAAAAGGUGAUUAUAAUAUUUUAAUAUUAUAAUCAAAUAUUCAUGAAGCAACAGCAGUAGUUAGUUCUUCCAUAUUACAACUUGGAUAUUGUUGUAAUAUUACUCCAUUGUUCUGGAGAUGGUUGGACUCAUGAUCCUAAAGGUCUCUUCCAAUCUUAAUAAUUCCACGAUUUCUGACACCUUCCAAAGCAUUGUCCUGACCCCUUCACUCAGUUCUAACAGUCCCAGUGACAUCUGUGAAUGAAAUUAAUUUAUAUUUGAAUGUGGGACCAAAGAGCAAUCAAACAGAUCCUAAAUAGGCAACAAUUGCUCAAUAAAUACUUUUAGUUAAAUAUAAUAAAUAAAUUAAAUAUCUGUUUGUUUUAAUCUUAUUCUCAGAUGGCAAACAGUUGUUCCUUAUGGCUCAUGAAACAAAUGCAGCUCAAAAAACCUCAAGCAUUUGUUUUUGGUAUAAAAACAAACAUAUUUGACUGAUUAAAGAAAUUAAAUUAUUAUUUGAUUCAUUUGGACACUUUGUGCUGUGCUACAGGU
Long non-coding RNA from Zonotrichia leucophrys gambelii, 1399 nucleotides. RefSeq lists it as uncharacterized. Lineage: Eukaryota; Metazoa; Chordata; Aves; Passeriformes; Passerellidae. The transcript is spliced from 3 exons. The record is from RefSeq and is a predicted model, not a curated record.